Molecule: transfer RNA, 72 nt
Filed under: Capra hircus (goat)
Lineage: Eukaryota; Metazoa; Chordata; Mammalia; Artiodactyla; Bovidae
Also listed under: 1 other name
Rfam family: tRNA
About the family: Transfer RNA (tRNA) molecules are approximately 80 nucleotides in length. Their secondary structure includes four short double-helical elements and three loops (D, anti-codon, and T loops). Further hydrogen bonds mediate the characteristic L-shaped molecular structure. tRNAs have two regions of fundamental functional importance: the anti-codon, which is responsible for specific mRNA codon recognition, and the 3' end, to which the tRNAs corresponding amino acid is attached (by aminoacyl-tRNA synthetases). tRNAs cope with the degeneracy of the genetic code in two manners: having more than one tRNA (with a specific anti-codon) for a particular amino acid; and 'wobble' base-pairing, i.e. permitting non-standard base-pairing at the 3rd anti-codon position.
Source: Rfam by way of RNAcentral
UCCCUGGUGGUCCAGUGGUAAGACUCUGAGCUUCUACUGCAGGGGGCAUGGGUUUGAUCCCUAGUCAGGGAA